UGAUACCGGAUGUUCGGCAGUUAUGGGGACAGCUUCUGACCCACAAGAUGGGAGAGUUAAUGGUGGGAGUUAUGGGGUUAUGGGGCAGCUCUGACCCACAAGUGGGGAGUUAUGGGGGAGUUUAUGGGGCAGCUCUGACCCACAAGUGGGGAGUUAUGGGGUUAUGGGGCAGCUCUGACCCACAAGUGGGGAGUUAUGGGGUUAUGGGGCAGCUCUGACCCACAAGUGGGGAGUUAUGGGGGAGUUAUGGGGUUAUGGGGCAGCUCUGACCCACAAGUGUGGCGAACCACGGCCGAAACA
Molecule: long non-coding RNA, 300 nt
Filed under: Coturnix japonica (Japanese quail)
Lineage: Eukaryota; Metazoa; Chordata; Aves; Galliformes; Phasianidae
Description: lncRNA (ENSCJPG00005002198.1)
Source: RNAcentral